AUUGAACGCUGGCGGCAGGCCUAACACAUGCAAGUCGAGCGGAGCGGCGGACGGGUGAGUAAUGCCUAGGAAUCUGCCUGGUAGUGGGGGAUAACGUCAGGAAACGGGCGCUAAUGCCGCAUACUAUCAGAUGAGCCUAGGUCGGAUUAGCCAGUUGGUGGGGGAAAGGCCUACCAAGGCGAAGAUCCGUAACUGGUCUGAGAGGAUGAUCAGUCACACUGGAACGGAGACACGGUCCAGACUCCUACGGGAGGCAGCAGUGGGGAAUAUUGGACAAUGGGCGAAAGCCUGAUCCAGCCAUGCCGCGUGUGUGAAGAAGGUCUUCGGAUUGUAAAGCACUUUAAGUUGGGAGGCGUUACCAACAGAAUAAGCACCGGCUAACUUCGUGCCAGCAGCCGCGGUAAUUC
RNAcentral lists this ribosomal RNA (407 nucleotides) under uncultured bacterium. RNAcentral's name for it is "partial 16S ribosomal RNA". It matches the Rfam family "Bacterial small subunit ribosomal RNA", at positions 30 to 526 of the family's 1533-position model. The record is from RNAcentral.